AACAAACGCUGGCGGCGUGCCUAACACAUGCAAGUCGUACGAGAAAGUCCGCUUCGGUGGAUUAGUAAAGUGGCGCACGGGUGAGUAACGCGUGGAUAAUCUACCCUCUAGUUGGGAAUAACGUACCGAAAGGUGCGCUAAUACCGAAUGAUACUGCACAACUACUGUUGUACAGUCAAAGAAGGCCUCUGUUUACAAGCUUUUGCUAAAGGAUGAGUCCGCGUACCAUUAGCUAGUUGGUAGGGUAAUGGCCUACCAAGGCGACGAUGGUUAGCUGGUCUGAGAGGAUGAUCAGCCACACUGGAACUGAGACACGGUCCAGACUCCUACGGGAGGCAG
Molecule: ribosomal RNA, 339 nt
Filed under: uncultured Pseudomonadota bacterium
Lineage: Bacteria; Pseudomonadati; Pseudomonadota
Description: bacterial SSU rRNA
Rfam family: Bacterial small subunit ribosomal RNA
Source: RNAcentral